UAGGGAAUCUUCCGCAAUGGGCGAAAGCCUGACGGAGCAACGCCGCGUGAGUGAUGAAGGUCUUCGGAUCGUAAAACUCUGUUAUUAGGGAAGAACAAAUGUGUAAGUAACUAUGCACGUCUUGACGGUACCUAAUCAGAAAGCCACGGCUAACUACGUGCCAGCAGCCGCGGUAAUACGUAGGUGGCAAGCGUUAUCCGGAAUUAUUGGGCGUAAAGCGCGCGUAGGCGGUUUUUUAAGCCUGAUGUGAAAGCCCACGGCUCAACCGUGGAGGGUCAUUGGAAACUGGAAAACUUGAGUGCAGAAGAGGAAAGUGGAAUUCCAUGUGUAGCGGUGAAAUGCGCAGAGAUAUGGAGGAACACCAGUGGCGAAGGCGACUUUCUGGUCUGUAACUGACGCUGAUGUGCGAAAGCGUGGGGAUCAAACAGGAUUAGAUACCCUGGUAGUCCACGCCGUAAACGAUGAGUGCUAAGUGUUAGGGGGUUUCCGCCCCUUAGUGCUGCAGCUAACGCAUUAAGCACUCCGCCUGGGGAGUACGACCGCAAGGUUG
This 550-nucleotide ribosomal RNA is filed under the name uncultured bacterium. Its description in RNAcentral is "bacterial SSU rRNA". It matches the Rfam family "Bacterial small subunit ribosomal RNA", at positions 355 to 896 of the family's 1533-position model. The record is from RNAcentral.